Molecule: non-coding RNA, 30 nt
Filed under: Mus musculus (house mouse)
Lineage: Eukaryota; Metazoa; Chordata; Mammalia; Rodentia; Muridae
Source: RNAcentral
UNGAUUCAGCCUCGAAUGUGUGCUAUGAGU